UGGCUCUGGCAUCGAUGAAGAACGCAGCGAAAUGCGAUAAGUAAUGCGAAUUGCAGAAUUCAGUGAAUCAUCGAAUCUUUGAACGCACAUUGCGCCCGCCAGUAUUCUGGCGGGCAUGCCUGUCUGAGCGUCAUUUCAACCCUCGCCCCGGGCCUCGCGCCAGGGGCGGUGUUGGGGAUCGGCCGCCCCCCCCCAGGGGGCCGCCGUCCCCUAAAUCCAGUGGCGACCGCGCUGUGGCCUCCCCCGCGUAGUAGAAACACCUCGCGGGCGGAGAGCGGCACGGCCCGCCGUAAAACCCCCAACUCUUCAAGGUUGACCUCAGACCAGGUAGGAAUACCCGCUGA
RNAcentral lists this unclassified non-coding RNA (344 nucleotides) under uncultured fungus. RNAcentral describes it as "partial contains 5.8S ribosomal RNA and internal transcribed spacer 2". The stretch from base 1 to 133 matches the Rfam family "5.8S ribosomal RNA", at positions 22 to 154 of the family's 154-position model. The record is from RNAcentral. Lineage: Eukaryota; Fungi.